This 497-nucleotide ribosomal RNA is filed under the name uncultured bacterium. RNAcentral's name for it is "partial 16S ribosomal RNA". It matches the Rfam family "Bacterial small subunit ribosomal RNA", at positions 30 to 523 of the family's 1533-position model. The record is from RNAcentral.
AUUGAACGCUGGCGGCAGGCCUAACACAUGCAAGUCGAGCGGUUGAGGUAGCUUGCUACCGAUACAGCGGCGGACGGGUGAGUAAUACAUGGGAAUCUGCCUGGUAGUGGGGGACAACGUUUCGAAAGGAACGCUAAUACCGCAUACGCCCUACGGGGGAAAGGGGGGAUCUUCGGACCUCUCGCUCUCAGAUGAGCCCGUGUCAGAUUAGCUUGUUGGUGAGGUAAAGGCCCACCAAGGCGACGAUAUGUAACUGGUCUGAGAGGAUGAUCAGUCACACUGGAACUGAGACACGGUCCAGACUCAUACGGGAGGCAGCAGUGGGGAAUAUUGGACAAUGGGCGCAAGCCUGAUCCAGCCAUGCCGCGUGUGUGAAGAAGGCCUUAGGGUUGUAAAGCACUUUCAGUGGGGAGAAAGGCCUUUUACUUAAUACGUAAGAGGAUUGAUGUUACCCACAGAAGAAGCACCGGCUAACUCCGUGCCAGCCGCCGCGGUAA